Molecule: small RNA, 996 nt
Filed under: Oryza sativa Japonica Group (Japanese rice)
Lineage: Eukaryota; Viridiplantae; Streptophyta; Magnoliopsida; Poales; Poaceae
Description: sRNA Os01g0679300
Source: RNAcentral
GGCUGGGGGGCGCGCGGGGGAGGGGGAGGCGAGCGAGGAGGCGCGUUGGGCGGGGCGUGGCUAGGGAGUAGCCCAAGGGCACCGCUCUGUCCUCCUGUUUUUCCCCUUCUACCCUCGCCGGCCGCUGGAGGAAGAGAGAGGCGGAGACGAGAGAGAGACCGACCGCGCGCCACGACGAUGGAUCCGUGAUGAGGCCACCGCGCGUCGCGGCAGCCGUCGGCCCAGCUCGCCUUAGCCAUCGGUGGAGGGAGCGGCGGGAUCUCGAGCUGUGGCCGAAAAUAGCAGCGGAGAGAGAGAGAGAGAGAGAGAGAGAGAGAGCGGCGACGGAUCCGCGGGCGGAGUAGGCGGCUCUCCUCGUCGCCCUCACCGACGAAGCUCCGGCGGCCGCGACGGUCCUCCUCAUCACCCUCCGUUCGCCGCUGGAGAGAGAGAGAGCGCCGGGGUGGAUGGUAAUGAUGGCACGACGGAGGAGGCCGAGGUGGAUGGCGACGGGAGAGAGAGAGGUGUGGCGGUGGACACCGGCGACGGGAGAGGCGGCCCUCCUCGUCAUCCUCGCGACCGCUGGCGACGGGAGAGGCGAGCGGCGGCGACGGUGAGAGAGAGAGGCAAGUGCAGCGGCGAAAAAAGGAGAAUGGGGGGCGGGAGAAAGAGAUUAGGGUAGGGUAGUAAAAAUAAAUAUGGGGCUUUGUAGGCUGGGAUACCCAUUAUGGGUUGGAGUGUCUCUAUUAAGGCCCUGUUUGUUUCAGCUUAAAAUUACUGUAAUCUAGAUUAUAGAACUAGAUUACUAUAAGCUGGAUUAUAAUAAAUCGACAUAGAAUAAGCUGUUAGCUGUUUGUUUCUCUGAAUUAUUAGUUGUUUGUUAGCUGUUAGCCACCCAAUAAUCUAAAAAAACACCUUUAUGCCCUGUUAGUUUCAGCUUAAAAUUAUUGUAAUCUAGAUUAUUGAACCAGAUUACUAUAAGCUGAAUUAUAAUAAGUCGACAUAUAAUAAGCUGUG